UCUGGUUUUCUUUCAGAGUACUUGCAUGAUUUUUUAAAAAAACCAAGCACAUCAAAUGUCACAACAUUAGGAUAAUCAUUAAAAUGUCAAUCAUUCAGUGCAUUUGCAAUAUGCCAGAGCUUACUAGAGAACAUAUUUUUUUAUCUGAUUAAUGUGAGUCUCUGGAACAUGCCUUUGAAUGGGCAUCUCUUUAAGAGGUGAUUAGUGGUUAUUAAAGAUUAUUCCUAUUAGGGAAAGAACAGUUUUUCCCUAAAGUGGAAUAAAAUUGGUCCUUAAAAGCAGUAGAUCCUAAAGGAAAAGACAGAUGUAAAAGGACAUCUAAGAAAAUGAAAUGUUACUGAUGGAAUCAUAGAAGUAUUUGGGUGGGAAGGGACCUUAAAAAAUAUCUAGUUCCACCCUCCAUACCAUGGGCAAGGACAUAUUCCACCAGGUUGUUCAAAGCCCCACCCAACCUGGCCUGAUGCUGUGUUGUGUCCUGCGCAGAUUUUUGUGUCUUGCUGGCCAUAUUGAUCUCCAGCUGCAAGAACCUGGAAAGCUGGACCACAAAUUUUGGUGCCUGUCAUAAUCUGGAUACUACCAUCUGUGUCAUGGAUAGUACUGUUUUUUAAAUAUAAGUAGUUGAUCAAUACUGUAUAUUUAAGAUGACUAGAUAAGCUAAAAAAUAUCUGGUACAUACUAAUAAAUGUACUUUUUUGAUUGCAUCUUGUGCAGAAUCUAAAUUUUGUUCCACUGCUUAUACUAAUUGCAAUAGCAUAAAUUUGGUCAGUAAUUUAAUGGAAGGAUUUGGGACUGCAAAUCGCAAUUGUAAGGAUGAAAAGUUGGGAAAUGGGAAUUUCAGAUACCCUUUGUAAAGUAACUAUUACACAUUCAUGUGCAGAGUCCCUUCAUCUUUCUUGGCUGUUUCAGAGGGAAAUAGCCACAAAAUACAAUUAAAUAUGUUAAACUUUGGACAUAGAAACCCAGUGUAUUGUCAGUGCAGUAAUUUGCUUCCUAACAGCCUCUUCUGGAUUGUGUCCAGAGCUCUUCACUUGAUUUGUGAAAGCUGCCUUCAUUAAGCUCCUGACUGCACUUGGUGAGACUGUUAUCUAAAAGACUCCUUGGCGUUGUUUUUUCAAUGCAUGGAAAGCCACAGACACAGUGUGCAGUGUUCUGGUAUGAUCCGGGAGAGGACAGCAGGCAUGCUGUGAGCAGGGGAUUUCCUCCUCCUUACAGUGCAGUAUAAAUAAGUCACACAGUUGGCAAAAUGUGCCAAACUGGUAACUUUCUCCCUCCAAAUAUGUUUAUGAAGAGAAAAGGCCUUGUAAACCCCUCCAUUUAUACUAAGGACAGAGUCAAUAUAGGUAGCUUUUCAUAAUGUCUUCUCCCUUCAAGCAAUAAAAAUUAAGUGUCCCUGCUUGGUUCAUUCUUCUGCUCUGUGAUACAUCUGAAAUAAUACCAGCUGGUGCUGGUGUGGUGGCAUCAGGUUAUCCUCCCUGGCUGCAAGAAAUGGGUCACUUCAGCAGAAGCUGCCAUAGGGCCCUCAGGGGACAGACACCACUGGAUAAGAACUGCCAAGCAAUGUCUGGAUCUGCAUCAUCUGCUCUUCUGCUCUUCCGACCUGUUCUGUCCUGAAAGAGUACUUUUAUACUUAUUUUUCCUUUUUUUUUUUUUUUUUUUCUUCCUUUUCCCUACAGAUACCUGAAUCUCACUUCAUGUUUGAUGUUCAUUGACAGAGGUGAUGUGAAGCUGCACAUCCCUCUCCAGGAGCAGAAAGGAGAUUAGAGUGGAUUCAGUCUGCAAACUGUCUGUGAGUGAAGGGGAGAGAUGUGCCCAUGCCCACAUGGACCUGCUACAAGAGGACAUUUUGCGCAUUCCUUCUACUUCAUUUCUCCUCACAUCCUUCUCUGGCCUAGGAAAUUUGACUUCAUCUCCUGUUUGAACAGUGUUUGAACACCUGUAUCCUUUCCUAGGCUGCUGGGUGUCACUAUAUUCCCUGAACUGAAGGGAUUCUAUGAGAGAUGUCAGAGGACAUGGAUUUGGCAGUGGAGACCACUGGAUUUCAUUCCUUAGCUGACACUGUCAACCUUCAGAAAGCACACAUCUUUGCAUUAUGGCCUCAUAUAAAGUCGGUAACUUUUGCAAGUCAGGAACGAACAGGAAAUGCCUAAACAACAUGGGAAGCAUGGUAAGGUGUCAAGGAAAGGGAAACAAAUGAGUGUGAUCCAGAAUGUUACAUCUCUUUGUGCGUGACUUGACCGAGAUACAGAUUGAAGGGACAGAUCUUUUUACUAUUACUCCUCAGAAUCAAAGGAUAAGAAAUAGCUUUCCUGGAGGUCACUUCAUCCUGGCUACAUUCAUAUACAGGUGGUUUGUUUCAGUGCACAGGGGCAUAUCCUGCAGUGUUAAAAUCAAUGGGAAUGUUGCUGCUGAAAAUAGGAACAGCAUUUUAUCUUUGUUUCUGAUAACUGAUGUCACAAGAUCUUGGAAGGGGUUUUACUGCUUUUAAAAACAAUCUCAACUUGUGUUUUUACUCCUGGUGCCUAAUGCUUCCAUUGUAAGUGACAUUUCACCAGGAUGCUGCACCUUGUGAAUCCAGGGAGAAGGUUGUACACCAGAAAGGCAUAUGAAGACAGCAUUUAGUGAGAAACAAGUAAUUAAGACAUCUGGAUAGAGAAGAACACAUCAAAAAUAAUUUAACAAAGCAGGUGUCUGAGAACAAGAAACAGGAACUGGGAAGGUGAGGUUUCAGGUGAACUCAUAGAACAGAACGGUCAUGGUUAUACUGGAUCCUCAACUUGUUGCACUCUCAGCUGCUCUUUCCUCCCUGGAGUCUUUCCAGCCCAGAUGGUGCAACUCAGGCUGCAUGACCUGAGGCAGUGUUGGAGCAGCAGCAUGUUGUUAGCUGGCUUAGCAAAAGAUCAUUUUUUUUUUUCUUUUUCAGCCCAUGUGCUGUAAGCUGAAGCCUAACUCUGGACUUCUUCUUUUCCUGUGGUUGAAUCUACAGAGAAUUGGACUGUAAUAAUGGCAGCAGAUGGUGUAUUUUCUUGUCUUUGGAUGGUUUGACAGCAGGCCAGUGAUAGCAGUUUUCAGAGCAAUAAAGAUUACCUGUGUGUUAUAUUUCCCUUUCCCCCCUUACUCUUCUCCCCAAGCUGAAUAAUAUUUUUUUAAACAGUUGGGAUUUCUUGCGCAAGUGAACUUGCUAGAGCCUGUGCAAACCUGGGUUCUGGUUGUUCCAGUGAAGCACUGUCAAGUCUAUGCAAGGCCACAGUUUUCUAGUUGCUUUUCAAAUAACUGAUUCCAAGCAGGCUGAAUCUGUAUCUCUGGGAGAUACAGAUAUCUCUGGGAGGUUGGUAUUCCCCAUGUAAUAUUUCUGUGCACCCUCAUCUGAUAGAUCAUUCUGAAGACCAACAGGAGCAGCUCUCAUUCAAUAGGUGAUGACUGCAAAUUCCUGAAGUGGGAAAAGGUUUUCUGAAAAUUUUAGCCAAAACCUGGAUUUUUCUCUGUAUUUUUUUUUUCAUGGUUCUGUUACAUUUAUAUAUUGCUCUGAAAUAUUCUUAUCUUCUCUUAAAGUUGUUUUCAAUUUAGGUCUUCAGUGGAGGAGCUAGUUUUAGAUGUGUAGUUAUGCUUUUUUCCCCUCAUAAGAGCCUACGAAAUAGAAAGCACUUUUCUACAGGAUAUUGUUUUGGUUUGGAUUCCACCUUUUUUCCUUCUUUAGGAGUGUUAAAAAGAUGUCACUUAAUUUGAACAGUAGCAAACCUCAGCCCCAAACAGAGAAAUAUGCAGUCUUUCUCAAGACAUGUUGAGACAUCCCCCUGCAGCUGUAAUGGGUUAUCAGCACAUCUCCACCCUUUCACCAGAUGCAACCUUUUAGAGGCAACUUUGUCUUCAGACUUCAGUUGUAUAUCAUCUGAUCUCAACUAGUGUCAAAAGACCCAGAAACUCUCUGCCUGUCUGCUGGGAACAUUGAUCCACUCACCACAACUAUUUACAAGAUGUGAAGUCUUUCCUUCCCUUGCACUCUUUUUCUCUCUUAAAAAAAGAAAAAAAAAAAAAAGCUGUCAGUAUUUCAGAAAUUGUGAGUAGCAGAUCUUUGUGUUCUUUAAUCCAUAAAUAAACAUUUCUUUUUUUGAACUUCA
Taeniopygia guttata (zebra finch) is the source of this 4115-nucleotide non-coding RNA. The record is from RefSeq and is a predicted model, not a curated record. Lineage: Eukaryota; Metazoa; Chordata; Aves; Passeriformes; Estrildidae.